UACAGAGGGUGCGAGCGUUGUCCGGAAUCACUGGGCGUAAAGGGCGCGUAGGCGGCCUGGUAAGUCGGGGGUGAAACGCUGCGGCUCAACCGCAGCACUGCCUUCGAGACUGUCAGGCUUGAGCACGGUAGAGGCUGGUGGAAUUCCCGGUGUAGCGGUGGAAUGCGUAGAGAUCGGGAAGAACAUCGGUGGCGAAGGCGGCCAGCUGGGCCGUUGCUGACGCUGAGGCGCGACAGCGUGGGGAGCAAACAGGAUUAGAUACCCUGGUAGUCCACGCCGUAAACGAUGGGUACUAGGCGUCGGGGGGAGCGACCCCCUCGGUGCCGUCGUUAACACAGUAAGUACCCCGCCUGGGGAGUACGGUCGCAAGACUGAA
This 376-nucleotide ribosomal RNA is filed under the name uncultured bacterium. Its description in RNAcentral is "bacterial SSU rRNA". It matches the Rfam family "Bacterial small subunit ribosomal RNA", at positions 524 to 898 of the family's 1533-position model. The record is from RNAcentral.